Molecule: long non-coding RNA, 215 nt
Filed under: Mytilus galloprovincialis (Mediterranean mussel)
Lineage: Eukaryota; Metazoa; Mollusca; Bivalvia; Mytilida; Mytilidae
Source: RNAcentral
GCUUACCCUACAGUUUUGGUCUGUUUUUACUCUAUGGUUCAAUUCUUAAAAAUUUUCCUUUAUUUGCAAAAUGAUAAAAAAAAUGUUGCUUUUGUCUCUAUUGACAAUUUUGAAUCAUCAUGAUCAUGCUUUCUAGAAUUGUCUGAUGAUCUCUUAAAAGAGUUUCAACAUUGCUCAAUUAUCAAUCCUUUAGUUUCACAUAGCUUCUACCUGUC